AAUCCAUAGGUUAAUGAGGCGAACCGGGGGAACUGAAACAUCUAAGUACCCCGAGGAAAAGAAAUCAACCGAGAUUCCCCCAGUAGCGGCGAGCGAACGGGGAGGAGCCCAGAGCCUGAAUCAGCAUGUGUGUUAGUGGAAGCGUCUGGAAAGGCGCGCGAUACAGGGUGACAGCCCCGUACACAAAAGCGCAUGUGCUGUGAGCUCGAUGAGUAGGGCGGGACACGUGGUAUCCUGUCUGAAUAUGGGGGGACCAUCCUCCAAGGCUAAAUACUCCUGACUGACCGAUAGUGAACCAGUACCGUGAGGGAAAGGCGAAAAGAACCCCGGCGAGGGGAGUGAAAAAGAACCUGAAACCGUGUACGUACAAGCAGUGGGAGCCCCACCACUAAGCCAGUGGUGAACUCCACAUACGCAUCCUUUGCUGAGGAUACGGUUAACGGAGCGAAAGCGACGUUCAACCUCAAAAGAAGCAGAGGGGGCUUAGUGGUGGGGUGACUGCGUACCUUUUGUAUAAUGGGUCAGCGACUUAUAUUCUGUAGCAAGGUUAACCGUAUAGGGGAGCCGGAGGGAAACCGAGUCUUAACCGGGCGUUAAGUUGCAGGGUAUAGACCCGAAACCCGGUGAUCUAGCCAUGGGCAGGUUGAAGGUUGGGUAACACUAACUGGAGGACCGAACCGACUAAUGUUGAAAAAUUAGCGGAUGACCUGUGGCUGGGGGUGAAAGGCCAAUCAAACCGGGAGAUAGCUGGUUCUCCCCGAAAGCUAUUUAGGUAGCGCCUCGUGAAUUCAUCUCCGGGGGUAGAGCACUGUUUCGGCUAGGGGGCCAUCCCGGCUUACCAACCCGAUGCAAACUGCGAAUACCGGAGAAUGUUAUCACGGGAGACACACGGCGGGUGCUAACGUCCGUCGUGAAGAGGGAAACAACCCAGACCGCCAGCUAAGGUCCCAAAGUCAUGGUUAAGUGGGAAACGAUGUGGGAAGGCCCAGACAGCCAGGAUGUUGGCUUAGAAGCAGCCAUCAUUUAAAGAAAGCGUAAUAGCUCACUGGUCGAGUCGGCCUGCGCGGAAGAUGUAACGGGGCUAAACCAUGCACCGAAGCUGCGGCAGCGAACGUAUCACUUAAAGCGAUUCAGCGGAUGACGAUUGACGGAGCGAAGCGACGUCAAAGCGUAUACAAAGUCGAGUCGGUUUAAGGAUACGUUCGUUGGGUAGGGGAGCGUUCUGUAAGCCUGCGAAGGUGGCCUGUGAGGG
RNAcentral lists this ribosomal RNA (1252 nucleotides) under Salmonella enterica subsp. enterica serovar Rissen. RNAcentral describes it as "partial 23S ribosomal RNA". It matches the Rfam family "Bacterial large subunit ribosomal RNA", at positions 161 to 1269 of the family's 2925-position model. The record is from RNAcentral. Lineage: Bacteria; Pseudomonadati; Pseudomonadota; Gammaproteobacteria; Enterobacterales; Enterobacteriaceae.